RNAcentral lists this small RNA (138 nucleotides) under Chrysemys picta bellii (western painted turtle). Its description in RNAcentral is "TUC338 (ENSCPBG00000004706.1)". Lineage: Eukaryota; Metazoa; Chordata; Testudines; Emydidae. The record is from RNAcentral.
GUGCAGCCAUGGAGACCUCUGGGCACAGGCAGUGGCAGUGCAAGUUUCCCCAACUUUCCUCAGUCCCAGUCUGGAGGGACCUGAGUCUAGGUGAGAAAGGGUAGUUCAGUCUCCAUAACCACGCAGUCCUGGAUCUCU